RNAcentral lists this transfer RNA (71 nucleotides) under Cordylochernes scorpioides. RNAcentral's name for it is "tRNA-Gly". It matches the Rfam family "tRNA". From Rfam's summary of the family: Transfer RNA (tRNA) molecules are approximately 80 nucleotides in length. Their secondary structure includes four short double-helical elements and three loops (D, anti-codon, and T loops). Further hydrogen bonds mediate the characteristic L-shaped molecular structure. tRNAs have two regions of fundamental functional importance: the anti-codon, which is responsible for specific mRNA codon recognition, and the 3' end, to which the tRNAs corresponding amino acid is attached (by aminoacyl-tRNA synthetases). tRNAs cope with the degeneracy of the genetic code in two manners: having more than one tRNA (with a specific anti-codon) for a particular amino acid; and 'wobble' base-pairing, i.e. permitting non-standard base-pairing at the 3rd anti-codon position. Lineage: Eukaryota; Metazoa; Arthropoda; Arachnida; Pseudoscorpiones; Chernetidae. The record is from RNAcentral.
CCAUCGGUGAUUCAGUGAUAGAAUGCUCGCCUGCCACGCGGGCGGCCCUGGUUCGAUUCCCGGCCGAUGCA